RNAcentral lists this ribosomal RNA (1183 nucleotides) under Salmonella enterica subsp. enterica serovar Enteritidis. RNAcentral describes it as "partial 23S ribosomal RNA". It matches the Rfam family "Bacterial large subunit ribosomal RNA", at positions 139 to 1223 of the family's 2925-position model. Lineage: Bacteria; Pseudomonadati; Pseudomonadota; Gammaproteobacteria; Enterobacterales; Enterobacteriaceae. The record is from RNAcentral.
UUCGUCACACUAUCAUUAACUGAAUCCAUAGGUUAAUGAGGCGAACCGGGGGAACUGAAACAUCUAAGUACCCCGAGGAAAAGAAAUCAACCGAGAUUCCCCCAGUAGCGGCGAGCGAACGGGGAGGAGCCCAGAGCCUGAAUCAGCAUGUGUGUUAGUGGAAGCGUCUGGAAAGGCGCGCGAUACAGGGUGACAGCCCCGUACACAAAAGCGCAUGUGCUGUGAGCUCGAUGAGUAGGGCGGGACACGUGGUAUCCUGUCUGAAUAUGGGGGGACCAUCCUCCAAGGCUAAAUACUCCUGACUGACCGAUAGUGAACCAGUACCGUGAGGGAAAGGCGAAAAGAACCCCGGCGAGGGGAGUGAAAAAGAACCUGAAACCGUGUACGUACAAGCAGUGGGAGCCCCACCACCAAAGCAUUUGCUGUACCGCGUUGACGGAGCGAAGCGACGUCAAACCGAUAAAACAGCAGUGUAAAGUGAGCCGCAGGGCGCUUUGCGCGACAGCGCAAAGGCAGGCGGUUUCGCGUAGCGAAAGCGAAUGCUUUGGGGUGGGGUGACUGCGUACCUUUUGUAUAAUGGGUCAGCGACUUAUAUUCUGUAGCAAGGUUAACCGAAUAGGGGAGCCGGAGGGAAACCGAGUCUUAAUUGGGCGUUAAGUUGCAGGGUAUAGACCCGAAACCCGGUGAUCUAGCCAUGGGCAGGUUGAAGGUUGGGUAACACUAACUGGAGGACCGAACCGACUAAUGUUGAAAAAUUAGCGGAUGACCUGUGGCUGGGGGUGAAAGGCCAAUCAAACCGGGAGAUAGCUGGUUCUCCCCGAAAGCUAUUUAGGUAGCGCCUCGUGAAUUCAUCUCCGGGGGUAGAGCACUGUUUCGGCUAGGGGGCCAUCCCGGCUUACCAACCCGAUGCAAACUGCGAAUACCGGAGAAUGUUAUCACGGGAGACACACGGCGGGUGCUAACGUCCGUCGUGAAGAGGGAAACAACCCAGACCGCCAGCUAAGGUCCCAAAGUCAUGGUUAAGUGGGAAACGAUGUGGGAAGGCCCAGACAGCCAGGAUGUUGGCUUAGAAGCAGCCAUCAUUUAAAGAAAGCGUAAUAGCUCACUGGUCGAGUCGGCCUGCGCGGAAGAUGUAACGGGGCUAAACCAUGCACCGAAGCUGCGGCAGCGACACUGUGUGUUG